AAAUGCCAUUUUUCUAAAUGGUUUGACGGUACCAGAGGAAUAAGCACCGGCUAACUCCGUGCCAGCAGCCGCGGUAAUACGGAGGGUGCAAGCGUUAUCCGGAUUCACUGGGUUUAAAGGGUGCGUAGGCGGGCAGGUAAGUCCGUGGUGAAAUCUCUGAGCUUAACUCAGAAACUGCCAUGGAUACUAUUUGUCUUGAAUACUGUGGAGGUAAGCGGAAUAUGUCAUGUAGCGGUGAAAUGCUUAGAUAUGACAUGGAACACCAAUUGCGAAGGCAGCUUACUACACAAAUAUUGACGCUGAGGCACGAAAGCGUGGGGAUCAAACAGGAUUAGAUACCCUGGUAGUCCACGCCCUAAACGAUGAUUACUCGACNUCAGCGAUACACUGUUGGUGUCUGAGCGAAAGCAUUAAGUAAUCCACCUGGGAAGUACGUUCGCAAGAAUGAAACUCAAAGG
Molecule: ribosomal RNA, 458 nt
Filed under: uncultured bacterium
Lineage: Bacteria
Description: bacterial SSU rRNA
Rfam family: Bacterial small subunit ribosomal RNA
Source: RNAcentral